RNAcentral lists this ribosomal RNA (253 nucleotides) under uncultured bacterium. Its description in RNAcentral is "partial 16S ribosomal RNA". It matches the Rfam family "Bacterial small subunit ribosomal RNA", at positions 524 to 776 of the family's 1533-position model. The record is from RNAcentral.
UACGGGGGGGGCAAGCGUUGUUCGGAAUUACUGGGCGUAAAGGGCUCGUAGGCGGCCAACUAAGUCGGACGUGAAAUCCCCAGGCUUAACCUGGGAACUGCAUCCGAUACUGGAUGGCUUGAAUCCGGGAGAGGGAUGCAGAAUUCCAGGUGUAGCGGUGAAAUGCGUAGAUAUCUGGAGGAAUACCGGUGGCGAAGGCGGCAUCCUGGACCGGCAUUGACGCUGAGGAGCGAAAGCUAGGGGAGCAAACGGG